GACGAACGCUGGCGGCGUGCUUAACACAUGCAAGUCGAACGGAAAGGCCCUGCUUUUGUGGGGUGCUCGAUUGGCGAACGGGUGUGUAACACAUGUGUAACCCGCCCUUGUCUUUCGGAUAUCUUCAGGGAACUGGGGCUCAUACCGGAUAGGAGCUCCUGCUCCGUGGUGGUGGUUGGAAAGUUUCGGCGGUUGGGGCUGGACUCGCGGCUUAACGGCUUGUUGGUGGGGUAGUGGCUUACCAAGGGUUUGACGGGUAGCCGGCCUGAGCGGGUGGCCGGCCACAUGGGGACUGAGAGAGGGACCAGACUCCUACGGGAGGCAGCAGUGGGGAAUAUUGCACAAUGGGCGGAAGCGUGAUGCAGAAACGCCGCGUGCGGGAUGACGGCCUUCGGGUUGUAAACCGCUUUCGCCUGUGACGAAGCGUGAGUGACGGUAAUGGGUAAAGAAGCACCGGCUAACUACGUG
Molecule: ribosomal RNA, 468 nt
Filed under: uncultured bacterium
Lineage: Bacteria
Description: partial 16S ribosomal RNA
Rfam family: Bacterial small subunit ribosomal RNA
Source: RNAcentral